AACGAACGCUGGCGGCAUGCCUAACACAUGCCAGUCGAACGAAACCUGCGGGUCUAGUGGCGCACGGGUGCGUAACGCGUGGGAACCUGCCUUUAGGUUCGGAAUGGCUCAGAGAAAUUUGAGCUAAUACCGGAUGAUGUCUUCGGACCAAAGAUGUAGAGCCUUUAGAUGGGCCCGGGUUGGUUUAGCUAGUUGGUGGGGUAACGGACUACCAAGGCGACGAUCCAUAGCUGGUCAGAGAGGAUGACCAGCCACUCUGGGACUGGGACACGGCCCAGACUCCUGCGGGAGGCAGCAAUGGGGAAUAUAGGAAGAUGGACGAAAGCCUGAUCCAGCAAUGCCGCGAGAGUGAUGAAGGCCUUAGGGUUGUAAAGCUCGUUUACCCGAGAUGAUAAUGACAGUAUCGGGAGAAUAAGCGCCGGCUAACUCCGUG
RNAcentral lists this ribosomal RNA (433 nucleotides) under uncultured bacterium. RNAcentral's name for it is "partial 16S ribosomal RNA". It matches the Rfam family "Bacterial small subunit ribosomal RNA", at positions 29 to 507 of the family's 1533-position model. The record is from RNAcentral.